CCUACGGGAGGCAGCAGUGAGGAAUAUUGGUCAAUGGGCGCGAGCCUGAACCAGCCAAGUAGCGUGAAGGAUGACUGCCCUACGGGUUGUAAACUUCUUUUAUCAAGGAAUAAAGUGAGGCACGUGUGCCUUUUUGUAUGUAAUUUAUGAAUAAGGCUCGGCUAACUCCGUGCCAGCAGCCGCGGUAAUACGGAGGAUCCGAGCGUUAUCCGGAUUUUUUGGGGUUAAAGGGAGCGGAGAUGGGUUGUUAAGUCAGUUGUGAAAGUUUGCGGCUCAACCGUAAAAGUGCAAUUGAUACUGGCAGCCUUGAGUACAGUUGAGGUAGGCGGAAUGCGUGGUGUAGCGGUGAAAUGCAUAGAUAUCACGAAGAACUCCGAUUGCGAAGGCAGCUUACUAAACUGCCACUGACAUUGAUGCUCGAAAGUGUGGGUAUCAAACAGGAUUAGAUACCCGAGUAGUC
Molecule: ribosomal RNA, 460 nt
Filed under: uncultured bacterium
Lineage: Bacteria
Description: partial 16S ribosomal RNA
Rfam family: Bacterial small subunit ribosomal RNA
Source: RNAcentral